UUUUUUUUUUUUUUUGUUAAUUCAUGUCUGUGAAUAUUGAGCAGGAUUCACAGCAUACGCUUUGGUAUGUACAAAGUGAUUUCUAUGCAAAUCAUGCAAGCUGGAGAGGUAAAAGUAGACCUUUGUUUGUCUAUUUGAUUGCUGUGGGAGGUACAGUUUUCAAAGGUUUACAAUAUCCAUAUAGUGUCUAUGAAGUACAUGGUAGUAGUUGAAAUUUAGAAAACAAGUACAACAUAAAUGUGUGAUAGAAGGCUUCUGUCAUCUUCGGGAUUUUGACUUAAAGGCAGUUGUUUUACAGUUUUUUGAUUUUGCCUUCAAUACUUUUUCCCAGUGCUGUUUUCUGUCAUGAACUUCAUCCCAUUACUUAGUUUGCCUUGGCUCAAAGGUUACUGAAGUAAUUUAUUUCCAUCCUUGGAUGUUAACAGAAAAGUGAAGAAUGAUUACAAGUUUUGUUACUUCCGUAGUUUUCACGUGUUAGUUAGAGAAGAAAUCUGGAACUUUGUAUUUCCACGAAGCUCCCUCCAAAGAGGACGAACGGUAGAUGUCAGAUUUUUAGUUUUCUUUUGGUUUAGCACCAUUACAUUUUUGUGCAUAGUAGCAGGAGUGGAAACAAACUGGUCAAUGGCUAGUAUUACAUACUAUUAGGGAAUUAAAAACAAGUUGGAGUGGGAGUUCUCUUUCACUCUGUGGAGAAAAGGUAAAAUAAUGAGAUCCUAGUAGUUAAUUGGAGGUCAAACUGCAGUCAUGUCUAACAGUGUAAGAAGUAAUAUCUUUACAUUUUGCACAGAUUAUUAAGCUGUUGAGUUUUUCUUUUGUGUUUUUUGCCCUUUUUUUUUUUCCAUUUAACUACCUACUCCGCUGAAUCAGGGUGAACGUGGCCCUCCUGCUUUGUUGGUACAGGUUAGUUGUGUGUUCUUUUACAGGUGCUAGCCAAAGAAUUUUUACCAGUUGUGAGGUGGUAUGUGAUAAACAUAAAUGCAAAAGAAGCAGCCAGCAGGUGUAAGGUACUUUGUUACACACUCCUCGCCUUCCUAUCUUCUUGUUGACUACUGCAACGUGAAGCUAAUGACCAUGGAGAAGAAUCAAUCAUUUGAAGCACGAGGUAGCCAGUGUCGGGGAAUAUCAGUACUCCAAGUGCAUAAUAAUGCAAGUACGAUAUCUCCCCUUCUUCCCAGUGGCUGCAGAGACUCGACUUCCAUACUGUUUCAGAGAAAAGGAGGCCGGUAAAUAUAAUGUUAAGAGAGGACGUGAUCAGGAAAAAGAAGAUUCUGACCCACAUAAUGAGUUGGAUUAAGUCUACCCAAAAGAGCAGUGCUUGUGAGAUUCAAAUAUUAUGACUGUCUUCGAAUCAGGCUCUGUUGUGACUGCAAUUCUGCUUCCUGUAAUAGGUAUGUUUCUGUAACACAUGCGCUUUUCUUCUGCCAGAUGCCAGGAGUUCUGUAUCUUGUUCACUCAGAGGCUAAAAAAAAGUCUGCUCAAACAGACGGUCAGUUCAGAUUGUGCUCAGCUACAUGCCUCUUUGUGGAGGCCAAACAGAAGCGAUGUCAACUUUUGGGUUGUUUUAGUUAGUGGUGGUGAGUGGGGAUAUGAAGGACAGUCCUGAAGGCAUUAUGUCAUUCUUUGUAUGCUAAUUUCUCUGACCGCCUAAGCAUAAAUGAAUUCUUUAUUGUUCUUCUCAAGAAAAAGGUUAUUUGUGAGCAUGGCAGCUAACGCUGUUUAAUAAUGCAGUAUAUUCUAGCCACAGACUUUUUAGUGAGUUAUAUCUGGUCAUGGUUAAGCAUUUGGGUUUCCUCUGACUCACUUCUAGUAUACGUCAAAAUACAAUUUAAUCAGAAAAUUGAGAUCGCUUGAAGUGAAAAACAAAAGCAUUGCAUGGAAAAUGAGCACACAUCUUAACACUGUAGAAUUCUGCUAGCCCUUUACACAAAUUCUCCUGAAUAGUGAAAGUGAAUACCACUUUCUAAAAAUGAGAAAGAAACCUCUGUAAAACAUAAACGUAAGAUUCAGUGCUGUCAAAUUACAUUUUUGGCAAAAGAUGUGUACUAGCAACUGUAUAAUCAGCACUUCUUAUAGGAUCCUUCAAGAUCAAUUACACUUCCCAUUGAGAAAGAAGUGGUAAAAAGUGGCCUUGAAAUAGUAGUAGCUCAUUCUGUGUCUCACCUUAUGAGUGGAUAUAAAGACAGAAAUCAGAAAAAUACCUUACUGAAAAGGCAUUAGGAUUAUCUUCAUCAUAUUGCUUGGAAUGAACUUCAGGUGGUAGUGGUGAUCUUAAGAAUUGAAUUAAAGCAAAAUAAGGUAGGUGAAGGCAGUACAGUUGCUAAGAGUAUCCCCGAGACUCUGCCCAGGAACACUUGAAGCUACAUUAAUGAUUUGGAGCUUUCCAUUUCUGCCAGGUCUCUAAAAAGCUAAUUGAGAAGCACUCUCUCAUUUUUCAAACAUCAAAACUGUAGCUGACUUGGUUUUCAAGAAUUGUACUUCCUGUUGACACAAUGAUAAGGGUGUCUGAUAAUACUACCAAUUACUCAGUAUAUGCUUCAAAAUACUUUACAAAGGCAGCUAUUCUCAGCUUAUAUUUUGGGGGAUGUAAGGCACAAAGAGUAAAAGUUGUAUGAUUGAACUUCCCCUGCAAGCCAUCCUGAGAUUUACCCUGAGUUUGCUUAUCUACUUUAUAAG
Molecule: long non-coding RNA, 2673 nt
Organism: Cygnus olor (mute swan)
Lineage: Eukaryota; Metazoa; Chordata; Aves; Anseriformes; Anatidae
Exons: 3
Source: RefSeq, a predicted model, not a curated record